GGUGAUUUCCUCAAGUUCCAAUUUUUAUUUCUUUCUAUCUGGUUUUGGUGAGUUCUUUCUGUUGAUGUCUUCAUCCAGUAGAGAGAAGAGUAUUCUUUUUUUGGGUAGUUUGGCGUGUAUUUAUAUCUUCAUCCAGUAGAGAGAAGAGUUUUCUUCUUUGCGGCAUUUCUUCGAACAGUUGGUGUGUCUACUUUAUGGUGGCGCCCAUAUCUAGCAUAUCUUUAAUGUUUCUGUUGCGAUGGUUGAUGGGUCAUUUUCUUUGAUGCAUGUCACGAAAUGUGGACUCGGAUUUUCUGGUGUGGAGAUUGAAAGCUCCCUUUCUUGUUUCUGUGUUUUUAUUUGAUGUUUGUGCAGAUAGACACCUGCAACGCUUAUUACUGCGAGAAAUUCACACCGAACAAGUCCUAUAAGCCGAAAAUGUGGACUGAAGCUUGGACCGCUUGGUAAAGUCAUACUGAAGAAUCUUACACACUUCCGAGUGAUCGAAUUUGACGAUGCUAAUUUGGCUUCUCACAGGUUCACAUCAUGGGGGAACCCAGUGCUAUACAGACCAGCAGAGGAUCAGGCAUUUUCGGUUCUCAAGUUCAUCCAGAGUGGUGGUUCGUACGCGAAUUAUUACAUGGUAAGUCUCGAACUUUAAUGCUGCAAGACAUGUCAGUAUUUCCUCGUGGAUGUUAGAUUGCGAAUGUUAUCUUGAUGUCGAUUUUAUUGAGUUGUAUCUCAGUAUCAUGGUGGAACGAACCCUCCAGUCAAGGAUUCUCCUUUCUCUAUUUUUUUUUCUUUCUAUUAUGGCACCCUCUCGCUAGCUAGCUAAUUGGACCAUCUGGUGCUUGCAUUUAUUAUUCAUUGAAACUUACGCCAAGCCACUGGCUUAAGCAGCAGACCAACCACAGUCAGAAAAGAAUAGUUAUUGCGACAUUUCCAUUCUUCUGUAAUGUUGAGCCACAGCAGCCUGGCUCUGUUUUCAUUACUUCUGUUGCUAUGUUCUUCUUCUUCUCUCUGGGUUUCUCCAGUCACAGCUGCCGUCACUUACGACGGAAAAGCUAUCGUCGUCAAUGGGCAGCGUAGGAUUCUCAUCGCUGGCUCUAUUCACUACCCCAGAAGUACCCCUGAGGUCUAGUUUUUACAUUUCUCCUCCAUUCCAUUCUCCCCAUUGUGACUCUGUUUUUACAUUUAUCUGUUUCAUUUGUAAAUGCAGAUGUGGCCUGAUCUGAUACAGAAGGCCAAAGAUGGAGGCCUGGAUGUUAUUCAGACUUACGUUUUCUGGAAUGGCCACGAGCCUUCUCCUGGGAAUGUAAGAAAACCAAACUUUACUUUACUUCACUCCUCUCUUUCUUGUUUUGGCCUCCCCUGUAAAGGAGAUGUAACUGAUUUUUAAUCUUUGUUUUCGGAAAUGCAGUAUUAUUUCGAGGAUAGGUUCGACCUGGUGAAGUUCGUGAAGGUGGUUCAGCAAGCAGGCCUAUACGUUAAUCUCCGAAUCGGUCCUUACGCUUGUGCAGAAUGGAACUUUGGGUAUAUUUUAAAGCGAUCCCUUGCUCUGUUUUCCUUCUCUCUGCAUUAUUUUUAUGGGUUUUGAACCAUGCUCUGUUUUUUUCCGUGGAUGCAGAGGAUUCCCUGUUUGGCUAAAGUAUGUCCCUGGAAUGUCUUUCAGAACUGACAAUGAACCGUUCAAGGUAAAAUUAGGCGUGUUCUUGGAUCCUGGUUGAUUCUUUUUACUUUUACCCUCUUGUUUGUUGAAAAAAGCUGACGGAUUUUACAAUGUGUUUUUGACUUUUGACAUGAAAGGCGGCUAUGCAAAAGUUCACAGAGAAAAUCGUCAACAUGAUGAAGCAAGAAGAGCUCUUUGAACCACAGGGAGGCCCAAUAAUUCUCUCCCAGGUUUGAAAGUCAAUUUCUUUUCCCACAUUUUGAUCAGAUUUUUAAAAUCAGCCUAAACCCAAGUCGCUAUCACGAAUCCAGAAACUGAAAUCAGCCGAAACCCAAGUCUCUAUCACGAAUCCAGAAACUAGUGUUUUUUAUUUUGUCUGUUUAGAUUGCUUAGCUGGUUGGUUUGGGUUAAGCAAAUUAAAAAAUUGCAGAUAGAGAACGAGUACGGGCCGAUAGAAUGGGAGCUGAAAGCACCGGGGAAAGCAUACGCACAGUGGGCAGCUCAGAUGGCGGUGGGACUCAACACAGGAGUUCCAUGGAUUGCGUGCAAGCAAGAGGAUGCCCCUGACCCUCUGGUAUUUUCCUCCAGUUCCAAAUUCUUCUUUUUGGGUAGUUUGGCAUGUAUUUUUGUCUUGAGCGGGUAGAGAGAUGACACGCGAGUAUUCUUCUUUGCGGCAUUUCUUCGAACAGUUGGUGUGUCUACUUUAUGGUGGCGCCCAUAUCUAGCAUAUCUUUAAUGUUUCUGUUGCGAUGGUUGAUGGGUCAUUUUCUUUGAUGCAUGUCACGAAAUGUGGACUCGGAUUUUCUGGUGUGGAGAUUGAAAGCUCCCUUUCUUGUUUCUGUGUUUUUAUUUGAUGUUUGUGCAGAUAGACACCUGCAACGCGUAUUACUGCGAGAAAUUCACACCAAACAAGUCCUAUAAGCCUAAAAUGUGGACUGAAGCUUGGACCGCUUGGUAAGUCAUACUGAAGAAACUUCCGAGUGAUCGAUCGAAUUUGAUGAUGCUAAUAUGGCUUCUCACAGGUUCACAUCAUGGGGGAACCCAGUGCUAUACAGACCAGCAGAGGAUCAGGCAUUUUCGGUUCUCAAGUUCAUCCAGAGUGGUGGUUCGUACGCGAAUUAUUACAUGGUAAGUCUCGAACUUUAAUGCUGCAAGACAUGUCAGUAUUUCCUCGUGGAUGUUAGAUUGCGAAUGUUAUCUUGAUGUCGAUUUUAUUGAGUUGUAUCUCAG
RNAcentral lists this long non-coding RNA (2878 nucleotides) under Linum usitatissimum (flax). RNAcentral's name for it is "long non-coding RNA (LUSI_LNC003170)". The record is from RNAcentral. Lineage: Eukaryota; Viridiplantae; Streptophyta; Magnoliopsida; Malpighiales; Linaceae.